This 226-nucleotide unclassified non-coding RNA is filed under the name uncultured fungus. RNAcentral describes it as "sequence contains ITS1, 5.8S rRNA gene". The stretch from base 178 to 226 matches the Rfam family "5.8S ribosomal RNA", at positions 1 to 49 of the family's 154-position model. The record is from RNAcentral. Lineage: Eukaryota; Fungi.
UCUCCGUAGGUGAACCUGCGGAGGGAUCAUUACUGAGUGAGGGCUCACGCCCGACCUCCAACCCUUUGUGAACCAAACUUGUUGCUUCGGGGGCGACCCUGCCGCUUCGGCGGUGCGGCGCCCCCGAAGGUCUCCAAACACUGCAUCUCUGCGUCGGAGUUUAAACAAAUUAAACAAAACUUUCAACAACGGAUCUCUUGGUUCUGGCAUCGAUGAAGAACGCAGC